GACGAACGCUGGCGGCGUGCUUAACACAUGCAAGUCGAACGGUGAAGCUCCAGCUUGCUGGAGUGUAUCAGUGGCGAACGGGUGAGUAACACGUGAGCAACCUGCCCCUGACUCUGGAAUAAGCGCUGGAAACGGCGUCUAAUACUGGAUACGAGAAGGGUCCGCAUGGGCACUUUCUGGAAAGUUUUUCGGUUGGGGAUGGGUUCGCGGCCUAUCAGCUUGUUGGUGAGGUAAUGGCUCACCAAGGCGACGACGGGUAGCCGGCCUGAGAGGGCGACCGGCCACACUGGGACUGAGACACGGCCCAGACUCCUACGGGAGGCAGCAGUGGGGAAUAUUGCACAAUGGGCGAAAGCCUGAUGCAGCGACGCCGCGUGAGGGAUGACGGCCUUCGGGUUGUAAACCUCUUUCAGCAGGGAAGAAGCGAAAGUGACGGUACCUGCAGAAGAAGCACCGGCUAACUACGUG
Molecule: ribosomal RNA, 468 nt
Filed under: uncultured bacterium
Lineage: Bacteria
Description: partial 16S ribosomal RNA
Rfam family: Bacterial small subunit ribosomal RNA
Source: RNAcentral